Molecule: ribosomal RNA, 465 nt
Filed under: uncultured bacterium
Lineage: Bacteria
Description: partial 16S ribosomal RNA
Rfam family: Bacterial small subunit ribosomal RNA
Source: RNAcentral
CUACGGGUGGCUGCAGUAGGGAAUAUUGCGCAAUGGGCGAAAGCCUGACGCAGCGAUACCGCGUGAGUGAGGAAGGUUUUCGGACUGUAAAGCUCUGUCAAGGUGGAAAAAUGGCAUAUGUUCGAAUAGGGCAUAUGUUUGAUGGUACACCUAAAGGAAGCACCGGCUAACUUCGUGCCAGCAGCCGCGGUAAUACGAGGGGUGCAAGCGUUGUUCGGAUUUAUUGGGCGUAAAGCGCGCGCAGGCGGAUUAAUAAGUCAGGUGUGAAAUCUCGGGGCUCAACUCCGAAAUUGCGCCUGAAACUGUAAAUCUAGAAUCUCAGAGGGGAAAGGGGUAUUUCUCAUGUAGGGGUAAAAUCCGUAGAGAUGAGAAGGAACACCAGAGGCGAAGGCGCCUUUCUGGAUGAGCAUUGACGCUGAGGCGCGAAAGCGUGGGGAGCAAACAGGAUUAGAUACCCCAGUAGUC